Non-coding RNA from Durio zibethinus, 4516 nucleotides. The record is from RefSeq and is a predicted model, not a curated record. Lineage: Eukaryota; Viridiplantae; Streptophyta; Magnoliopsida; Malvales; Malvaceae.
AAGAAAUGAAAAGAAAACACAUUGAAAUAUUGAAAUUCUAACCCCAUCCCAAAUUAGACCAAAACCGAGCCACCCCCCUUCUCUCUCUCUCUCUCUCUCUCUCUCUCUCCUUCAUUUCUCUCUCUCCGAACGACCAAACCCUAACCGAUCCCUCUUUAUUUAUCUCUAAUUCUUUUCCCGGUACUUUAAUUCGAGGUUUCUCUUCAGAUCUGUUCCACCUCAGAUUUAAUUCAUUUUGACGAAGUAUUUUAGAUGGAUGAUGAUAGAGCAGAUGGAUAAAAUGUCUGCUCCUUCAUCCAAGGAGCGCGCACAGCAUCUUUAUGAGAAGAAUAUAGAGUUAGAAAGUAAUCGUAGGAGAUCAGCUCAGGCACGAGUACCUUCAGAUCCCAAUGCCUGGCAGCAGAUGCGUGAGAACUAUGAGGCAAUAAUUCUUGAGGACCAUGCUUUUUCUGAGCAGCACAAUAUUGAAUAUUCUUUGUGGCAGUUACAUUAUAAGCGGAUUGAGGAACUAAGGGCACAUUAUACCACUGCUAUAGCUUCUGUAGGAGUGAACGCCUCUCAGGGUGUGAAAGUUCCUCAACGACCUGACCGGCUUACAAAAAUAAGACUGCAGUUUAAGACUUUCCUUUCAGAGGCGACAGGAUUUUAUCAUGAUCUGAUUUUGAAAAUCAGAGCAAAGUAUGGACUUCCAUUUGGGUACUUUUCUGAUGAUUCAGAAAGCCAGAUUGUUAUGGACAAAGAUGGGAAGAAAUCUGCUGACAUAAAAAAGGGUUUGGUGUCUUGUCACCGUUGUUUGAUAUACCUGGGAGACCUAGCACGGUACAAAGGAUUAUAUGGAGAUGGAGACUCUAAAUCACGCGAAUAUGCAGCAGCUUCAAGUUACUACUUGCAAGCUGCAUCAAUUUGGCCAUCAAGUGGGAACCCACAUCAUCAGCUAGCUAUAUUGGCUUCCUAUUCAGGAGAUGAGCUGGUGGCUGUUUAUCAAUAUUUCCGGAGUUUGGCAGUUGAUAAUCCCUUUUCAACUGCAAGGGAUAACUUGAUCGUGGCAUUUGAGAAGAAUCGUCAUAAUUACUCACAGCUACCUGGGGAUGUUAAAUUGGUCAAGGAGCCUGCUGUGCGUUUAUCGGGAAAAGGCAGAGGGAAAGUGGUAGCAAAACUUGCAUCUAAAGAUGCCAGCAAGGAACCAGGCCCUGCUAAGGAGAAAGUAUCUGGUUUCCAGGAUACUUUUAAGUCCUUUUGCAUUCGAUUUGUGCGUCUAAAUGGUAUUCUUUUUACACGCACAAGCCUGGAGACUUUUGCUGAUGUUCUUACUCUGGUUAGCCGUGAUUUAUGUGAACUUCUCUCUUCUGGGCCAGAAGAGGAACUUAAUUUUGGCACAGAUGCUGCUGAGAAUGCACUUCUCCUUGUUAGGCUGGUUUCCAUUCUCGUGUUUACAGUUUACAAUCUGAAGAGGGAGGGUGAAGGUCAAACAUAUGCUGAAAUUGUACAGCGUGCUGCCCUACUUCAGAAUGCAUUCACUGCCAUUUUUGAGUUGAUGGGACAUAUAGUAGAGAGAUGUUCACAGCUCCAGGAUGUUUCUUCAAGCUAUACCUUACCUGCUGUUCUAGUUUUUGUAGAAUGGCUGGCUUGCUGCCCGGAUGUUGCAGCAGCUGGCAGUGAUGUGGAUGAGAAACAGUCUAUCACUAGAUCACUUUUCUGGAAACGCUGCAUAUCAUUUCUGAAUAAGAUCUUGUCAAUUAGGCCAAUGUGCAUAGAUGAUGGUGAAGAUGAGACCUGCUUUUUCAAUAUGAGUAGGUAUGAAGAAGGAGAAACUGAAAACCGUCUUGCAUUGUGGGAGGACUUUGAGUUGCGAGGGUUCUUGCCUCUUGUUCCAGCACAUACCAUUUUGGACUUCUCAAGGAAACGUUCCUUUGUUAGCGAUGGCGAUAAGGAAAGGAAAGCCCGUGUCAAGAGAAUUUUAGCAGCUGGGAAAGCUCUAGCUAAUGUCAUUAGGGUUGAUCAGGAAACUGUUUGUUUUGAUUCGAAAGCCAAGAAAUUUCGUAUUGGUGUUGAGCCUUCCGAAGAUGUGACAUUCAGCUCUUCUACCCCACUGGAAACAAAUGGUGUGGGGCAUGAAACUCCCUCUGAGAAGACAAUUAAUAUUGGAAAUGUUCAGCCAACUCCACAGCCUAUAAUGUUUGGUGAAGAGGAUGAUGAUGAUGAAGUGAUUGUUUUCCAGCCAGCUGUGAGUGAGAAGAGAACUGAGGUAAUUGGUCCAAACUGGCGCCCCUCUGACACUUUGAAGCUUGAUCAAAGUAGUUCUACAGGUGAUCUCAUAUUUUAUGGCAGUACCAUGUCUGCUCCUUUUGAUAGUCUUCGCCAGCAUAAUACAUUUGAUGCUAAUCCUCCACUGCCUGUAUCUGUUGGUAGCAUUCUCCCACAGCAUCUACAGCCUGUUCAGAUGCACGCAUCUAGGUGGUCAGCUGAAGAAGCUACUUCUCUGGCUAAUAGCUUGAAAGGUUUGACAAUGUUGGAGAAUGGGCAUUUAAGAAAAUGUGAGAUGCAAGAUAAUGGUGGUGUUUCUCAUCCUGCUGCUCGUUCUGUUGCUAUCCAACAACCCAUCAGUCCUUUUGCAGGUGGUAUGUAUUACAGUCAGACAAAAGGGCCAGAAACUGUGAUGCCAUCCAGAAUUGAUGCUAUGGUGUCAUCUGGAGUUACUACUGAUGCUUUGGCUGGUAAAACUACCUCAGCUUUGCAAGUCGGGAUGCGGAAGAAUCCAGUUUGCCGCCCAGUUAGGCAUCUUGGUCCCCCACCAGGUUUUAGCCCUGUUCCUCCAAAGCCACUGAGUGGAUCUGUUUCUGCUUCAGAUUUGGAGAACCCGCUGAUGGAUGAUUAUAGAUGGUUGGAUGGAUAUCAGUUGACAUCAUCAUUGAAAGGCUCUGGCCUUGAUGGUUCUCUCAAUUAUGCAUCUCAUGCAGAUCCCCAGUAUGUCAAUAACAGCAGCAAUGUCUCGACUGGAAUGGUAAGCUUUCCUUUCCCUGGAAAACAAGUUGCAGCAGUGCAGUUUCAAACGGAAAAGCAGAAAGGCUGGCAGGAUUACAAUACUCUUGAGCAUCUGAAAAUUCAACAUCAACAGAAAUUGCAGCAACAGCAACUCAUGAAUGGAAACCAGCAGUUCACCUCACUGCCUGAGCAGUAUCAAGGACAGUCAGUCUGGACGGGUCGUUAUUUUGUGUGAGAUCAAAAUAAAAGUGUAGCUGGUUCUUUGAGAAUGAUUACCAUGAAUGUACUGCAUCCAUUUGCUGCCGAAUUCAACUCCAACUUUGAAGCAUUGUCAGUGUUGAGUUUUUGUUGGAGCAUAGUUGGCCUUGGCUUCUGGCGGGCACUUGCUGCUAAACAAAUUUCGCCAUAUUUGUGGAGGAAGAUUUGACCAAACUAUCUUUAAGAUGCGAAACUUGUAAGGAGUAAAUGCCUUAACUGGUUACUUGGGCUGGAGAUAGAACGUGUUAAUAAGAUCAUCUGUUGGUUUUGGGGGCUAUAUCUUCAAGGAGUUGGUCGAUUAAAAACUUGAUUUACUAUCCUAUUAACUUUCGAAUGGUCUGCCUAGAUUGCUGUUAAAAUUCAGCAGCCGGCAGUUGGUAAUAUUUGAUGUGCUCGACCAGCUCUCUGCAGAAGCUUCAGAGCUCUGGUCAAGAGGUCUACUAGGUACGAUCUGCAUAUUAGUGGUUGGACAGUGGGAUUGGGAUUAUGGUGGUGCGUUUGAGUAGCAGAAUGUGUGGGUGAGUAUUGAGUGAUGUGUACGUUUGAUAUCUGGGUCAAAGACUUAUUUAUGUUAUUAUGCUUAAUAUGUUACCGGCUAUGAUGAGUGAUGUGGAACAGCAGAAACUAGAGGGGGUUGCUGAAGUUGGGGGUUCACUCAAACUUCUUCUGUAAUCAAAUAAAUUAAAUCUAUGGAGAAUUUUCUUUCUGGGUCAUUGCAGACGCAGAUUUUCUUUCUCUUGCUUGUGGUUAGUUUGCCGUGUAAGUUGGCAGGCAAUACACAGUACUCAUGAAUCGUUAUUUAAUUCUUCGGUUCCUGUUUUUACUUGGGUCAGCGACUUAUGAAGAAAUGGCCAGUAUCAGUAAGGCUUAUGAAGAAAUGGCCAGUAUCAGUAGCAUGUUCUAUCAUUUUUUUCUUCCGUUUCUAUUUUACUCUUACUAUCUAAAGGAACUUACCACAUCCGACCUAACUAUCUAAAGGAACUUACCUGAUUAGCUACAGUAACUUUGGCAGGGUGGGGAUUACGUCUUGAUCCUCACAGACCUCGCUAGCUACAGGAAUUUACCAUGGUGGGAUUUGAUUACACAUCAAACUUAGGCGGUCCUUCAAUGCCUAAGCACCUUCAUUCCGCUGGGUUAAAUGCUCAUUGGCUAUUAAGUUUGUUUAUAAUAUGGCAAGACGUUCCAAAUAUUAUGUCUUGGAGGUGUGUGUUUAUUUAGCCAUACCUUGAUCGACAUUAAUAAUGUGUUUGAUAAGAAAAGGGGUAAAAAAAAAGUA